RNAcentral lists this long non-coding RNA (541 nucleotides) under Heterocephalus glaber (naked mole-rat). Its description in RNAcentral is "lncRNA (ENSHGLG00000038965.1)". The record is from RNAcentral. Lineage: Eukaryota; Metazoa; Chordata; Mammalia; Rodentia; Bathyergidae.
UGUCAGGCUGCAGUGAGCAGCUCUCCUCCUCCACGCGCCCCCUGCCAUGUCACCCAGCCUUGGAGCGAGCCAACUUUGGGCUGAAACCACUACAUACCCAUGACAAAAGAUCCUUGUGAUGAUUGCGUCCAACCCCCUCAUUUUACAGAUUGGGAACCUGAGGCUCAAAGAGGAAAAGCAAUGAGGGUAGAUAAAGCCCUUCGAUGACUACCUGGGGAACAGACCAGAUGAGGCAUCAUCCCAGGCCAGCGGCGCUCACAGAGGAAACACCUUCGUGCUCAGGGACAGAUUUACUAGGAACAUCUGGAGACACCAGCAAGCUGGUCACCAUUCCAGAUGCCAACACUGAGGGCCAGGGACAGGAUGUGACCAGCUCUAUGGCACCAACCAGUUUGCAGCUCAGGUGCCCACUGGGACAACAGAGUUCUGCCCCUCUGUGGGUGUGACUCAGAGCAUAGCGAGCACAUGACUGUCUCUUCUAGGGAAGAUCUGUCACUCGGUGGCCAUAUGCCCCUUCUACGUCAGAGUGUCCCCAACACAG